RNAcentral lists this ribosomal RNA (495 nucleotides) under uncultured bacterium. RNAcentral describes it as "partial 16S ribosomal RNA". It matches the Rfam family "Bacterial small subunit ribosomal RNA", at positions 28 to 507 of the family's 1533-position model. The record is from RNAcentral.
GACGAACGCUGGCGGCGUGCCUAAUACAUGCAAGUAGAACGCUGAAGGAGGAGCUUGCUUCUCUGGAUGAGUUGCGAACGGGUGAGUAACGCGUAGGUAACCUGCCUGGUAGCGGGGGAUAACUAUUGGAAACGAUAGCUAAUACCGCAUAAUAGCAGUUGUUGCAUGAUAACUGUUUGAAAGGUGCAAUUGCACCACUACCAGAUGGACCUGCGUUGUAUUAGCUAGUUGGUGGGGUAACGGCUCACCAAGGCGACGAUACAUAGCCGACCUGAGAGGGUGAUCGGCCACACUGGGACUGAGACACGGCCCAGACUCCUACGGGAGGCAGCAGUAGGGAAUCUUCGGCAAUGGACGGAAGUCUGACCGAGCAACGCCGCGUGAGUGAAGAAGGUUUUCGGAUCGUAAAGCUCUGUUGUAAGAGAAGAACGAGUGUGAGAGUGGAAAGUUCACACUGUGACGGUAUCAUACCAGAAAGGGACGGCUAACUACGUG